This is a long non-coding RNA of Podarcis raffonei (Aeolian wall lizard), 1036 nucleotides long. RefSeq lists it as uncharacterized. The transcript is spliced from 2 exons. NCBI's taxonomy places the organism in Eukaryota, Metazoa, Chordata, Lepidosauria, Squamata, Lacertidae. The record is from RefSeq and is a predicted model, not a curated record.
AUUGUUCUCCCUUUGGUAGCCUGUCGGAGAACAGAAGUAGCAGAGUAAAUUUGAUUAAGUCUUGGGAUUAUUAUUUUUUAAAUCACCUGGCAUCAAAAUUAUAUCAAUGAACACGUCAGCUAAGCCUUCAUUCUGGAGAAAAUCCUUUCUCCAGUAUCCAUGAGACCUCAGAUAGUGAUGAAACUCAGAAAAAGGCCUCCACUUCAGAAAUUUGUGUAUGGACGGGACUAUGUACAGACAGGAUCAUCCUUUGUACCUGGUCCCAAGAUGUGAACAAGCUUAAAACAAUUUGGAAUUGUGUGUAGAAAUGGGCUUGGAGGCAUUGCAGAUUCUGAAGCACUGUAGGCCCAGAAACUGCUAGCUAUUCCGGCUGGGCCUGAUAGGACUUGAAGUCUAUAAACAUUUGGAGGACCAAAGUUUCCACACUCCAAAGGAACAACCAGUGACAAUGCUGAAACAAGGGGCAACCCCGGCCUGCAACCAGGAGCCAUGUGUCCCAUUUCGCCACUUGAGAUGCAAUAAGAAGUGCUGCCUGACCUCCUGCCGGUGGAAAAACAGCACCAGCAUUGGCACCAAUUGGCUUCACCCUGCCUCAUGUGUGGGCUGGGCAACCCCAUUCAGAACAGAGUGAACACCAAUGCCUAGGUAGAUGAAGCAUUCAGAUACUGUAACUUGACCUUGUCUGGAUAUUCAGCAAAAAAGGGGAAAUUAAUACAUUUUUGUUAACAAUAUUUGGUAGCUCUGGUUUAAUAAAAAAAGUAUAUUGCAUUUCCUUUAAAAUUUCAAAACAGCCCCCAUAGCAAGGUUGUGAGAAUAUCAAUUUAUUAUCUACAAGGAGAGUAUAUUUAUUUAGAUAAAAUGUUGUGGACCUUAGAAAUGCAAAACAGAAAGGAAAAUAGGAGUUUGGUGAUAAGAAAACUUUUACCUUGAUUGUGAACAUUUCUUAUAAGCCCAUUUAAGUGUCAGGAUCAAUACAGGUAAUAUGCUUGCUAAAAAAGAAGAAGAAACACACACCACCAUUCUAGUAAAAAACCCC